GAUCUUCCUCUCAGUAAUUUGACAUCAAAC
Molecule: non-coding RNA, 30 nt
Filed under: Homo sapiens (human)
Lineage: Eukaryota; Metazoa; Chordata; Mammalia; Primates; Hominidae
Source: RNAcentral